RNAcentral lists this ribosomal RNA (495 nucleotides) under Semicassis bisulcata. RNAcentral describes it as "partial 16S ribosomal RNA". It matches the Rfam family "Bacterial large subunit ribosomal RNA", at positions 1845 to 2598 of the family's 2925-position model. Lineage: Eukaryota; Metazoa; Mollusca; Gastropoda; Littorinimorpha; Cassidae. The record is from RNAcentral.
AUAGGGAGUCGGACCUGCCCAGUGAAAGUAAUUUUAAACGGCCGCGGUACUCUGACCGUGCAAAGGUAGCAUAAUCAUUUGCCCUAUAAUUGAGGGCUAGUAUGAAUGGUUUGACGAGAGUAUAGCUGUCUCUUAGUGAUUAUUUAAAAUUUUAUUUUUAGGUGAAGAAGCCUAAAUAUAAUUAAAAGACAAGAAGACCCUAUCGAGCUUUAAAUAAAUUAAUAAAUUAUAUAAAAUAUUGUUAAUAAAAUAAUAUUUAUUAAAAAUUUUGGUUGGGGCGACAAAGGAACAAAGGAAGCUUCCCCAUAAUAUUUUAAACUAACUAGUGUUGAUCCAAAAAUUUUGAUUAAUGGAAUUAGUUACCGUAGGGAUAACAGCAUUAUCUUUUUUAAGAGCUCAUAUCGAAAAAAAGGUUUGUGACCUCGAUGUUGGACCAGAAUAUCCUAAAGAUGCAGAAGUCUUUAAAGGUUGGUCUGUUCGACCAUUAAAAUUCUA